GGAUCCCAUCAGCUCAUCUUGGGCACCACGCCACAGAAGGACAGAGCAAGAUGGUGUCUGUUCAUGGAGCGUGACCCUGGUGGCAAGGACACCUGGACCCCUGGCAUUGGAGAAAUGGCCAAAGCGUCAUACAUUCUGCCUGGAAUGAAGGAGACUUUGUGUGGGACAGAAGAAGCAUCUCUGAUGUUUGAAGUCUUGUUAGAGAAAAAGCAAAGACUGUUCUGAGCUCCCUGAGGCUGUUGGAUUAGCUCCAAAGGUCAAGGGUCCACUUUUGGCCUGGUGUAGGGGAAACCUCCUCCUGAAACUGCCUGCCACAGGAUGGGUGGACUUGGGCAUAGGGAGCUCCCUGUUCCUGCAGCUGAAGGACCACUUGAAUGGGUAUUACAGGACAUGCAAGAAUGGAGCUGUUGGCCUGGACUGGAUAACCAUAAAGAACAUCUUCACCCAGGACAAGAACAGCCUCUAGCCAUGACCUUGAAGAUGACCAUGACCAAUGGCCAUGACCACAGAGAAUAUCUUUACUUGCAGGUAGGACCUAGUCCCAGGCCAGGAAAAACCCCAAACCAUGACCUUGAAGGUGACCAUGACCAAUGAUCAUGACAAUAGAGAACAUCUUCUUUCCCUGGACAGCCCCAACAAUGACCGUGAACAUGAGCGCGUUGCAGAAUCUGAUGGGCCCUGUGACCCGAGGGACAGGCAGGCCCUGGGAAGGCAGCCACCAUGCUGUGAGGACGUUCAGGCAGCCCUGUGGGGAGGCCCAUGUGCUAAGGAACUGAGGACUCCCACCAGCAGCAGGCAGCGUCAACUUGCCAGCCAUGUGAGUGGGCUGCUUGCAAGUGGACCUUCCAGCCCCAGCCAUGCCUUUAGAAGACUGUAGCCUUGGCUGACAUCUGCCUGCAGUCCUAUGAGAGACCUCUGGACAGGACUGUCCAGCCAAGCUGCUUCUGAAUUCCUGACCACAGAGCCUGUGAGAGGUGACAAAUAAUUACUGCUGUUUUAACCCAUGAAGCUUCGGGCUAAUUUGUUAUGCGGCACUAGAUAACAAAUACAGCUGGUUAUUGUGGUAGGCAGCUUCCAAGACGGCUGCCAACGAUCCCAGCCUCCCGGUCAUUCGUGCCGUCAUGUAAUGCCCUCUGCUUUAGUGUGGACUGGACAUGGUGACUUGCUUCUAAUGAAAGAAUAAGGCACAUCUGAUGGGGUGUCACUUGGAGAUUACGUUACAAAAGUCUCUGGCUUCCAUUAUGGGUGACACUUGCUCUCUUGCUGGUUCUGAGGGAAGCCAGCUGCCAUGUUGUGAGCUGUCCUCUGGAGGGGUCCACAUAGCCAAGAACCGAGAGAUGUCUCCAGCCAACAGCCAGUGAGGAACCGAGGCCACGAAUCCAACACCUUGUGAUAAAUGGAACCUUGGCAGCAGCCAUGUCGGUGAGCUGAGAGUUGAACCUUGAAAUGACUGCAGCCCCAGCAGACGCCUCGGUUCCAGCCCUGUGAGAGGCCCUGAACAAGAGGACUCAGACAAGCUGCCCCUGGGAUCCAAGUGCACAGAAACAAUGAGGUAGAAAAUGCUUGUUGUUUUAGAGCUGCUGAGCGUGGGGUCAUUUGUUACACAGCAAUAGAUUAUUAAUACAGUUACGAGGAAUGGUGCCAACCUCACCUGUCCUGUCCCCAGGGGAGCUGCUUGGCUGUGGUCUAGACUUGGGUCUCAACCUACUGAACCACUCGAACCUUGGUCAGUCAGGGGCCCAAAGCAGGUAGGGGGAGCAUUGAGGGGCUGAGAAUAUGGGGGGGCAUCCUAAUACCUGCCGAUUUCUGGAAAACCAAGUCAGCCUCCAUAAGACCAUAGGAGAUGAAUAAGUAUGUGGGUGAGACAUAAGUUCAAGGCCAGGUUCUAUCCUCCUGUACCUGUGUGACGUUUAGCAAUGUUACAAGUCCUCCAGGAGCUCUGGCUCCCAAGUUGCCCUGCUGGAGCAGAGGGGGGGCAUGCAGGGAUGCAACUGCCCAGUUAGCACCAACCAGAGAGCCAACAUGAGGACUGAGCAACAGGAUCUCCAGAAGGGAGCUUGGCCCUGGAACAUGGUAGGUGCUUGAUACAAGACUGACCCUGUAGCUGUCAGGAUUCUUGGCAUACUGUCUUCGGUCCAACCACUGAUGUCACAAAGCCCUCACAGUGCCCUCCUGAUGCCCAGAUCGAGGAGGACUUGGGGAGGAUGCCGGCUCUUCAAAGACGAGGCGGUCUCAGCUGUGUAAUCACCACCACUUUGCUUGGGGCCCUCCCCGAGGAACAUACUCCGGGAUCCAUCACCCCCUUGCUCCGAUCCAAGUUGUUUUCUUCCCGCUGUUGAAAAAGUAGAAAUAACUAGAAGUCUCUUGACUUGGCGGUUCGUGCUGGAGCCCAGUGAGAGGGUUGUGUUGAGUCCUAGAGGCUAGGAUUCAGCGGGGCUGUGCUCCCUCGAGACUCUGGGUAGGAUCCUUCCUUGCCUUCUCCCUGCAGCUUCAAUCUCCAUCGUCACGUGGCAUUCUCCCUGUGUGUCUCUGUGUUCAAUCUGAUCCUCUUAUAAGGACACCAAUCAUAUUGGAUGAAGGGCCUACCCCGGUGCUCAUCUUAACUUCACUAGAACCAUCUGCAAAGACCCUAUUUCCGAAUAAGGUCACCUCCACAGGUCCCAAGGGUUGGGACUUCACCAUAUCUUUUGGGGGGACAUGACUCAAUCCAUGACAGAGUCAGAGGAGGGAAGAGCCCCCAGUGACCAGGCCGCAGAGCAGAGCAUCAGAGGCCUCAGAAGGCUGAAGAUCUCCCAUCCUGCUGAGACCUCAGCCUCCCCAGCAAUACUCUUGCAUCAGAGUCCCCUUCUCUGCCCCUGGCGCUGCAGAGGUGCCAGGCUUUGCUGUGGGCCUGAAAAACUGUCCUUUCACAGCUGUGUAGAGAGAAGAAUCAGGCUAGCUGCAGGACGGCUGCACCUCUAAGGGGGCCCGGACCUCCCCGGGAGGGCGGCUGUCCUAGACCUUGUCCGGUGGCCUGGUCUGAGGGCACCAUGUCCACCUGCCAUCAGCAGCAGGAGAUGUGGCCUGCGUGUCCCCCUGCUCUAAGAUUUCACCUUGACUCCCAAGUCCUCCCCACAUUCUCCCCAGGCAGCAGGGGCUUUGCCCGGGCAACAUUUCUGGGUGGGCUCUCGGAAGAUCUCUGUGCUCUGUUGCUCAUCCAGAGAGAACCGGCGGCAGCAGCUAAACGGUCCGCUGUGCCAGUGCCCUGCUGGGUGAAGCAGGUUCAUGUGGGGGAGUGACGAUGGCACUGUUGCUGUGUCUUGGGUUGGACAUUGGAUUAUUUUCCUCCAACCCGACCAAGAGUUUUGGCUCUCAGAGAAGAGCUCCAGAAGCUGCGUUUAUAAACACCAGUGGGUAUCGGAUUUAGUCAAGGGUAUCCAGCGCCUGGCAUCCGUCACCUCUCACCAGCCCUGCUGUGGCCGCUAAGUUCGGUUCCAUAACCCAGACAGCAGACAGAAGGGGCCGGGGCCCGAUGGUCCCCAACCAUUUCAUUGGGUGUGGUUGUUACUUCCUGGGUCGCUCACCUUUGGUUGAAUUUAAGUUUGUCAGACUAAGCAGCCUUUAACUGGAGACCCUGGGGUUCCUUGGAACCCAGGCCACCUCUAAGCAUGGGAUCGAGUCUGGAGUGUAGGAAACAAAAUUUGUCACCCCAAAAUGUCUCUGGCAUGUAGAUUAUUUCACGCUGAAAAUUAUCAAGGCCCAAAAGAAUCAGGAAGAAAUUUUGAACUACCCCCCUAAUCGCCUGAAAAAUUUAGAUAGAGGGCCUAUUACAGGAAUAGAGCUAUCACCAGACGUCUGCAGAGAAUACAAGCUAGGUGUGGUAGGGGAACACUUAGAGAUCAGAGUCUACUCUGUGUCCCAUUGUCUCUGCAGGGCCCCAGCAAACAUUUAUUUACUAAACACGUGCUUUUCCAUCUCCAGGUGAAUUGCCUUUCUCCCCUUCGAAGUCCCAAGCCACUACUCCCAACAUCCUCUGCUGUCUUUAGCUGAAGGUGACAUUUAAAGUGAGGACUUUGGCCAUUUUGGUGAGUUCCACCAUCUGUCAGGGACUCUUCUCUGCUGGAUACACAGCACCUACUCAGCCAGAGGAAACUCACACGUCAGGACACGAAUGACGGUCAUCCGGGGGCUUCACGACCUACCGACUUCCCCCCUGGGCUUGAAAUCUGGUGCGUCCAGUCAGAGCUGGCACCUGGCCAAAAUGCAUUCAUGUCCCGGCUCCGCACCUCCUGCUGUGUGUCCUGGUGAAGGUUACAGCCUCCCCCAGCCUCAGGCUCCCAGGUCUGCAGAGUGAGGGCGAUGAGGAUGACAGCACUGCCAUGACACUUACCUUAGAGGAAGGCCAUGAUGACCAAAUGCAACAGCAUGAGUGGGAGAGCACCAAAGAGCAGAGUCAACGAGAAUAAACACAUCCAAAGCCUGGAGACCGGAGAUGGUGAUCAUUCCAAAACCGGGAAGUCAUGACAAUGAUACCAGUAAGUUAACAGCCCAUGGUGGUGGGUUCCCAGCAUCCCUGGAGCUGUGCCUGCACCUUUGCCUCCGGGGAGCUGUAAGAAUAUUUGCUCAGCUGUCAUGAGGUUGGCAGGCUCUGACAAGACACCAGCGUCCAGGCUCGCUUUGCAUCUCAAAAGCUGCUGGAGACACUUCUCCACAGGACUGAUUGCAGCCUGGUGACAUUGCUGCCGUGUGGGGACCACCUUGGCUUACCCUGAGGUAAACCAAGUCCAGAUUCAGAAACAUGUCACAUCAAGACAUUUCUGUUCCUUUUCUCUUAAAAUGGAAGAGAACAAUGCUAGGCCAACUGUAAAAAAACAAAACAAAACAACACAAAACACAAGGCAAAGCAAACCCCCAGUCAUCCCUUCAAAGCGUGUGGGAAGCUGAAUGAAGCAAUGUCAAGGUGCUCAAUUUCAGAAGUUUUCAAGUUCUCGGAAGUUGGGGUUCCUAAGAUCACUCCAGUUGUUGACACACGAGGGCAAAGUCAAUGGCAUGUGGAAAUCAUCCAUCCACGUGAGGCUAGUGGAGACCGUUCCUUCUGCUGGCUUCCCUGUCUCUGCCAGGUGCCAGGCUGGGGAGUGCUUCCCUUCUUCCCACAUCCAGAAGGUUCCUUUCCUGGUCAUUCUUGCUCUCAGCCUUGCGCUCACCAUGCUUACUGUCCGGAACAACCCUGGUCUUCCUGCCUUCUGUCUCUGCCCUCCACCUGCCCCCUGCCCAUCAGGUCCUAGCCUCUAGAUCUCUGCAGGCCACCCUCUGUCCAGAGCUUUGACAGCCUCUAACCCGCCCUCGGCCUGGGCAGAGGUUCCUCCUAGCUUCCCAGCUUUGCAGGUCUCGUACACCCCAGGAAAUGGCCGAGGUUGUGGGUGGCUGGAGGAGGCCCUGGUCGGGGAGUUCCGUCCCGGGGAUCCCAGGGGGCCCACAGUCUCUGCACCUGCAUCACCCGUUCACACACACUGCUGGCCAAGUUCUGCAGAGCCUCAGAGCCUGUGAUCAAGCUGUCCCCUCUGACUGGGGUUGGGUGUGUGGCCCGGUUGCCAUUUCCUCCAAACCAUCACUUUAAGCAAACAGGGAAAACCAACCAUUAAUAAUGUGAGACAACCCGCUAGCAACAUGGUCCCCGAAACCACAGGACCACUGGGUUACUGCUGACCCAGUGCCUCUGAACCCAAGCUGCAGGAAUAGCAUCCUUUUCUACAUAGGCUGUUUUAUUAAUGUCCUAGGGCUGCUGCCACAAAUUACCAUGAACUUUAAAAAAACCCACAAAAACAGAAGUUUAUUCUCUCACAGUUCUGGAGGCCAGAUGUCCAAAAUCUACGUGUCAGCCAGACUGGGCUCCCUCUGGAGGCCCUAAGGGGCGGAGCCUCCCUCCCCUCUUCCAGCUUCUGGUGGCAGCUGGCAUUCCUUGGCUUGUGGCCACAUCACAUCCAUCUCUGCCUGUGUCUUCACACGGCCUUCCUUAAGUGUUUCCUCUUCUGUCUCUUGUAAGGACUCUUGUCAUUGGAUUUAGGUCCUGCCCUAAUUGAGGAUAAUCACACCUUGAGAUCCUUAAA
Molecule: long non-coding RNA, 6086 nt
Organism: Aethalodelphis obliquidens (Pacific white-sided dolphin)
Lineage: Eukaryota; Metazoa; Chordata; Mammalia; Artiodactyla; Delphinidae
Exons: 4
Source: RefSeq, a predicted model, not a curated record